This 477-nucleotide ribosomal RNA is filed under the name uncultured bacterium. RNAcentral describes it as "partial 16S ribosomal RNA". It matches the Rfam family "Bacterial small subunit ribosomal RNA", at positions 30 to 507 of the family's 1533-position model. The record is from RNAcentral.
AUUGAACGCUGGCGGCAUGCCUUACACAUGCAAGUCGAACGGUAACAGGUUAAGCUGACGAGUGGCGAACGGGUAAGGAAUACGUAACACCGUGCUGAGCUGCGGGGGAUAGUCCGGUGAAAGCCGGAUUAAUACUGCAUUAGACCUAAGGGCGAUACGGGGGGAUCGCUAGUCCUCUCGUUAUUGGCGCGGACGAUGUCAGUUUAGCUAGUUGGUGUGGUAAAAGGUUAACAAGGCGACCAGCUGUAGCUGGUCUGAGAGGGCGACCGGCCAGACUGGGAGGAAGACACGGCCCAGACUCAUACGGGAGGCAGCAGUGUGGAAUUUGGGACAAUGGGCGCAAGCCUGAACCAGCCAUGCCGCGUGCGGGAAGAAGGCGUUCGGGUUGUAAACCGCUUUUGUCAGUGAAGAAAUCCUUUGGGUGAAGACCUCGGGGGGAUGACGGUACCUGAAGAAUAAGCACCGGCUAACUACGUG